GAACGAACGCUGGCGGCAUGCCUAAUACAUGCAAGUCGAACGAAGGCUUCGGCCUUAGUGGCGCACGGGUGCGUAACGCGUGGGAAUCUGCCUUGGGGUUCAGAAUAACAGUUGGAAACGACUGCUAAUACCGGAUGAUGACGUAAGUCCAAAGAUUUAUCGCCCUGAGAUGAGCCCGCGUCGAAUUAGCUAGUUGGUGGGGUAAAGGCCUACCAAGGCGACGAUCCGAAGCUGGUCUGAGAGGAUGAUCAGCCACACUGGGACUGAGACACGGCCCAGACUCCUACGGGAGGCAGCAGUAGGGAAUAUUGGACAAUGGGCGAAAGCCUGAUCCAGCAAUGCCGCGUGAGUGAUGAAGGCCUUAGGGUUGUAAAGCUCUUUUACCCGGGAUGAUAAUGACAGUACCGGGAGAAUAAGCCCCGGCUAACUCCGUGCCACCAGCCGCGGUAAUACGGAGGGGGCUAGCGUUGUUCGGAAUUACUGGGCGUAAAGCGCACGUAGGCGGCUUUGUAAGUCAGGGGUGAAAGCCUGGAGCUCAACUCCAGAACUGCCUUUGAGACUGCAUCGCUUGAAUCCGGGAGAGGUGAGUGGAAUUCCGAGUGUAGAGGUGAAAUUCGUAGAUAUUCGGAAGAACACAGUGGCGAAGGCGGCUCACUGGACCGGUAUUGACGCUGAGGUGCGAAAGCGUGUGGAGCACACAGGAUUAGAUACCCUGGUAGUCCACGCCGUCAACGAUGAUAACUAGCUGUCCGGGAACUUGGUUCUUGGUUGGCGCAGCUAACGCAUUAAGUUAUCCGCCUUGGGAGUAUCGGCGCUAAGUUAAAACUCUAAGGAAUUGAUGGGGGCCUGCACAAGCGAUGGAGCAUGUGGGUUAAUUCGGAGCUACGCGCAGAACUUACCACAGUUGACAUGUCCGACGAUUCCAGAGAUGGUCUCUUCCUUACGGGACUGGAACACAGUGCUGCAUGGCUGUCGUCAGCUCGUGUCGAGAGAUGUUACGUUAAGUCCUUCACCGACCGCACCUUCGCUGUAGUAGCAUCAUUAAUUGGCACUCUACAGAACCGCCGUGAUAAGCAGAAGGAGGU
This 1085-nucleotide ribosomal RNA is filed under the name uncultured Sphingomonadaceae bacterium. RNAcentral's name for it is "bacterial SSU rRNA". It matches the Rfam family "Bacterial small subunit ribosomal RNA", at positions 27 to 1174 of the family's 1533-position model. Lineage: Bacteria; Pseudomonadati; Pseudomonadota; Alphaproteobacteria; Sphingomonadales; Sphingomonadaceae. The record is from RNAcentral.